Molecule: long non-coding RNA, 734 nt
Filed under: Androctonus crassicauda
Lineage: Eukaryota; Metazoa; Arthropoda; Arachnida; Scorpiones; Buthidae
Source: RNAcentral
GAUAAGACAAGUUCGACAAUUUUGCAAUAUACUGAUAUCAUCAUCUAUGGAUGAUAUCGAGGACAAAGAAUAUAAUUCUUAUAAAUUAACGUAAUGUUCAAAAGAAAACAUAUAUAAUAAACUCUAAAUUUAUUUAUAUAUUACAGUAUAUAGUAGAAUUUUUUCUCUUGUAAACUACAAGAUAAUUAUAGAUAUCGAAUAUCUCGUAUAUACUGUAUUCUUUCUCCAGAACUGCAAUAUGAUAAUUCACGUAUUAACUAAUGAGAGACUUCCUUCCGGAAAUAAGCCACAUGACCAAUAGUAAUUCGCCCCAUAUUGCACGAAAUUUAAUCAGUAUUGAGAUAUUAUCACCCUUAAUUUACAGUUCGUAUUAGAUAGUUAAUAAAUAUGGAUUACAAGAAUGAUCCAUCAAGCUCAGUAGAAGCAGAUGUUCAUAUAACCAGAAAAGGGAGAAUUUUUCCAAAAAAAUCAUCACUUUCUGAAUUUGAUAAAUCAUAUGAUGAUUGUAAUAAUUUGGAUAAUUCUGAAAAAAUGAAGAUAGUUCAUACUGAAAAGUCUAAAAAGGAAGAAUUUGAAAAAGUAUGGGGGAAUACAAAAGAAAAAUUAUGAUAUUUUAGAUGAUGUACUUUUCGUUUCUGGAUAAAAUUUAGAAUACAAAAGAAAAAUUAUGAUAUUUUAGAUGAUGUACUUUUCGUUUCUGGAUAAAAUUUAGAAUACAAAAGAAAAAUUAUGAU